CAUCAGUUGGCGAGAGAAAGGCACUGAAGAAAUUUUCAGAUUCAUCGACCACAGUCCUCCGAACUGGCUUUGUGAUUGCUUUAGGAGAGGCUAUUGGUGGACUCUGAGGUUCAGUGUUUGAUUUCAACCCCCAGGUUGAAGUAUCCCAUCCUCCACUGACAGGGGAACUUAUUCCUUUGACAAAAAAGUAAAUAUUAAAAAAGAACACAUAUGUUACAUUAAUAUUUCAAUCAUCAUUAUAAAUCAGUAUAAAUAUAAAUUUAGAAAAAAAUACCCUAUGAAAUACCUGUAAUUUGCACCUGCUAAACUCCUUGCUUACUACAUCAUUAAGUAGUUUCCAAGUUAAUACUGGGACUUAAAGAAGAAAACUGGUGAGGGUCCACCUGAGAGGAAGGAGGAGCACAGACAAAAGACUGGGCCUGGCCUGGACUACCAGAUGCGAGGUGGCUGUGAUGGCUGGAGAUUUCAUUUGCCUAAAGAUUAUGAUGACAGAGAAGUAUCAAACAUAAUUUUUAUCAAAAGAUAAUUUUUUUAAGGUUUCAAAAAUCACAAAAAUGAUUUUUACAACAUAACAAAAAUCUACAAUACUUACAGAGAAGCACUAUUGGUUAGAAAAUCCAAAACCUCCUGUAGUUUAGCUGAUGGAGAAAA
RNAcentral lists this non-coding RNA (651 nucleotides) under Pongo abelii (Sumatran orangutan). The record is from RNAcentral. Lineage: Eukaryota; Metazoa; Chordata; Mammalia; Primates; Hominidae.